Molecule: ribosomal RNA, 530 nt
Filed under: uncultured archaeon
Lineage: Archaea
Description: bacterial SSU rRNA
Rfam family: Archaeal small subunit ribosomal RNA
Source: RNAcentral
ACUGCUCAGUAACACGUGGAUAAUUUGCCCUUAGGGAGGAUACCCUCGGGAAACUGAGAAUAAUACUCCAUAGUCUAGAUGCUGGAAUGCUUUUAGAUGAAAAUUUGCCCAAGGAUGAGUCUGCGGACUAUCAGGUUGUAGUCAGGGUAAAGACCUGACUAGCCUACGACGGAUACGGGUUUGAGAGAUUUACCCGGAGAUGAUAUCUGAGACACGAUAUCAGGCCCUACGGGGCGCAGCAGGCGCGAAAACUUCACACUGGCGAAAGCGCGACGAGGGAAUCCCAAGUGCUGGCUCGUAAGGUAGCUGUUUUUCUGUCUAAAAAACAGAAGAGUAAGACUGGGUAAGACGGGUGCCAGCCGCCGCGGUAAUACCUGCAACCAGUGGUGCGCUAUUAUUGGGCCUAAAACGUCCGUAGCCGGUUCUAUAAAUGCCUGGGUAAAUCGUACGGCUUAACCGUACGAAUUCCGGGUAGACUGUUCAACUUGGGACCGGGAGAGGCUAGAGGUACUCCUGGGUAAGGUGAAAUU